RNAcentral lists this ribosomal RNA (633 nucleotides) under Hepatozoon canis. RNAcentral describes it as "bacterial SSU rRNA". It matches the Rfam family "Eukaryotic small subunit ribosomal RNA", at positions 186 to 807 of the family's 1831-position model. The record is from RNAcentral. Lineage: Eukaryota; Apicomplexa; Hepatozoidae.
ACUUUAUUAGAAGAGACGCAUUUAUUAGAUAAAAAGCCAAUGCAUGCUUUUACAGUAUGGAAAUUGGUGAUUUAUAAUAACUUAGCAAAUCGCAAAGUGAAAACAGGCGAUAAAUCAUUCAAGUUUCUGACCUAUCAGCUUUCGACGGUAUGGUAUUGGCUUACCGUGGCAGUGACGGUUAACGGGGGAUUAGGGUUCGAUUCCGGAGAGGGAGCCUGAGAAACGGCUACCACAUCUAAGGAAGGCAGCAGGCGCGCAAAUUACCCAAUUCUAACAGUUUGAGAGAGGUAGUAACAAGAAAUAACAAUACAAGGCAAUUAAAAUGCUUUGUAAUUGGAAUGAUAGAAAUUUAAACCCUUUUUAAAGUAUCAAUUGGAGGGCAAGUCUGGUGCCAGCAGCCGCGGUAAUUCCAGCUCCAAUAGCGUAUAUUAAAAUUGUUGCAGUUAAAAAGCUCGUAGUUGAAGUUCUGCUAAAAGUAACCGGUCUGCUUUUAAUAAAAGUGGUAUCUUGGUGUGUAUUUAGCAAUGAUGUCCUUUGAAGUGUUUUUUACUUUAUUGUAAUAAAGCAUAUUCAGGACUUUUACUUUGAGAAAAUUAGAGUGUUUCUAGCAGGCCGACGCUUUGAAUACUGCAG